CGGCGGACGGGUGAGUAACACGUGGAUAACCUACCUAUAAGACUGGGAUAACUUCGGGAAACCGGAGCUAAUACCGGAUAAUAUAUUGAACCGCAUGGUUCAAUAGUGAAAGACGGUUUUGCUGUCACUUAUAGAUGGAUCCGCGCCGCACUAGCUAGUUGGUAAGGUAACGGCUUACCAAGGCAACGAUGCGUAGCCGACCUGAGAGGGUGAUCGGCCACACUGGAACUGAGACACGGUCCAGACUCCUACGGGAGGCAGCAGGC
RNAcentral lists this ribosomal RNA (266 nucleotides) under uncultured Staphylococcus sp. RNAcentral describes it as "partial 16S ribosomal RNA". It matches the Rfam family "Bacterial small subunit ribosomal RNA", at positions 96 to 354 of the family's 1533-position model. The record is from RNAcentral. Lineage: Bacteria; Bacillati; Bacillota; Bacilli; Caryophanales; Staphylococcaceae.